ACAUAACCCAUCGGCCUCUCUCUCUCUCCUUAAAACAAAAUUCCCAAAUCAACAGGAAACCAUAGCCUCCUUCUCAAAAUCUCUCGUCUCAUCCCCACCGCCUUCCGAAACCGGCGUCGACGCCGGCCGUGAGCUCAGGAAGGCGGAGCUGUCGUCGCGGCUCCGUGAGACGCUCUCAAUUUGAGUCGCGGCGGUGCCCUCGGCAUCUCCGUCGCGCCCUCCCGUUCCAUCGUCGUUUCAUCCUUCACUGGCGGAGUCGCCGACAGGAAAGAGGCGUCGCCUCUCUCUCUCCCUGCCUCCGGCGUUCUCCUGGCUUUUUCCGACGAAUCCUCUAUCGCCGUCAUCGCGGAUCGCCGCUGCUGCCUCCCAUCCUUUCACGGCGACUCAGCGCCGUCACUGCCAUUUCUGUCUGAAGCUGACGCCGUUCGGCUCGCUUUGCAGACCAGCGCCGCCGCCGCCGCCGUCGGUCGGCCUUGAAGCUAAGUUCCUCUCUCUUUUUUUUUCAGUCUAAAGCUUGGUCUAUUUAGCUCGAGUUUUGGGGCAGUAGCUAUGUGAUUAAAGACUUGAUUGUGGAGCUCAACUCACUGGAAUGAGCUUGAAAAGUUUAUCUUGCUAUGUUAAAAGUUGUUUCUAUGAUUCUAAGAGUUGGAGUUCUACUGGGGCUUUACUAAUCUGCAGUUAUCCUAUGAGUUUGGUUAAGAAAUGUUGGUCCCUUGAUUAUUAUAGCUCGAUACUUGAUGUGAGGCUGGAUUUAGUAUAGUUAACACUCGUGCUAUGUGGUGAUUGAUCUAAACAUGAUGCAGAUAAGGUGUUGGGGUGUUGGGUGUUUACCUCUUGAUGUAGUGAAGAAAUGAGGCUGCCCUUGUUGCUGCUUGAGAUCAGCUCCUAAGGCACCAAGCUUUCUAACUCUCUCUAAAUUUUGCUGAUUAUUUUGAGAAGUGUGGGAGGGAGUUCGAAUGUGGUGUGGAGGCCCUUGUUUUAUAGGCUGAUUUUGUGUACCUUAGGGGAGUUAAUGAGGCUGACCUUGUUUGGUUUAUUGCCCAGCAUAUCUCUUGUUCUUGAUCCCCAAAGCAGCCUUUUACUUGACACAUUUUGGUGCUACUUGGAGUACUAGAGUUUGACUAAUUAAUUUAACUUGUUCUCACAUGCUCUCAUAGUACUUUGGUUCAUAACUUUAUUUGUUUGCAAGCUGCAGGAAAUCUCUCACUUCCUUGAUCUCCACUACUCUUGUUUGAAGGAACUUGGUGUUUUGCUAAGGACAGAGGACUUCUCAUUUACUCACUUUGGUGGUUUGUGACUAAGAUAUAAAGGCAGAUUUGGCUUUCCUCAUUUGGAUAGGUCCUUAGUCCUCUAUCACUAAGGUGGGUCACCUUGGCUGCUUUGAUGUUCUCGGACUCGGCCCGCCGUUCGGCCGAUGGGUUGCUCAAACGGGCCACGAUUUGGGCCUGAGGGGGAAGGCCCGAAAAGCAUCUAAAUUUUAUUUUCUUUGUUUUCUUUCUUUGAAGCCUCGAUCCACAUAUUGUAGUAUUUUUGACAUUAAUUGUUCGUUUAUUGUUUUAGAAAUGUUAUUCGAAAAUUCAUGAUAUUCUACAAUGUAAAUUUCCAAUUCUUAGUUCAAUUGAUUUACUUA
Salvia hispanica is the source of this 1630-nucleotide long non-coding RNA. RefSeq lists it as uncharacterized. The record is from RefSeq and is a predicted model, not a curated record. Lineage: Eukaryota; Viridiplantae; Streptophyta; Magnoliopsida; Lamiales; Lamiaceae.